GACGAACGCUGGCGGCGUGCUUAACACAUGCAAGUCGAACGGAAAGGCCCUGCUUUUGUGGGGUGCUCGAGUGGCGAACGGGUGAGUAACACGUGAGUAACCUGCCCUUGACUUUGGGAUAACUUCAGGAAACUGGGGCUAAUACCGGAUAGGAGCUCCUGCUGCAUGGUGGGGGUUGGAAAGUUUCGGCGGUUGGGGAUGGACUCGCGGCUUAUCAGCUUGUUGGUGGGGUAGUGGCUUACCAAGGCUUUGACGGGUAGCCGGCCUGAGAGGGUGACCGGCCACAUUGGGACUGAGAUACGGCCCAGACUCCUACGGGAGGCAGCAGUGGGGAAUAUUGCACAAUGGGCGGAAGCCUGAUGCAGCAACGCCGCGUGCGGGAUGACGGCCUUCGGGUUGUAAACCGCUUUCGCCUGUGACGAAGCGUGAGUGACGGUAAUGGGUAAAGAAGCACCGGCUAACUACGUGCCAGCAGCCGCGGUGAUACGUAGGGUGCGAGCGUUGUCCGGAUUUAUUGGGCGUAAAGGGCUCGUAGGUGGUUGAUCGCGUCGGAAGUGUAAUCUUGGGGCUUAACCCUGAGCGUGCUUUCGAUACGGGUUGACUUGAGGAAGGUAGGGGAGAAUGGAAUUCCUGGUGGAGCGGUGGAAUGCGCAGAUAUCAGGAGGAACACCAGUGGCGAAGGCGGUUCUCUGGGCCUUUCCUGACGCUGAGGAGCGAAAGCGUGGGGAGCGAACAGGCUUAGAUACCCUGGUAGUCCACGCUGUAAACGGUGGGUACUAGGUGUGGGGUCCAUUCCACGGGUUCCGUGCCGUAGCUAACGCUUUAAGUACCCCGCCUGGGGAGUACGGCCGCAAGGCUAAAACUCAAAGGAAUUGACGGGGCCCCGCACAAGCGGCGGAGCAUGCGGAUUAAUUCGAUGCAACGCGUAGAACCUUACCUGGGUUUGACAUGGAUCGGGAGCGCUCAGAGAUGGGUGUGCCUCUUUUGGGGUCGGUUCACAGGUGGUGCAUGGCUGUCGUCAGCUCGUGUCGUGAGAUGUUGGGUUAAGUCCCGCAACGAGCGCAACCCUUGUUCACUGUUGCCAGCACGUUAUGGUGGGGACUCAGUGGAGACCGCCGGGGUCAACUCGGAGGAAGGUGGGGAUGACGUCAAGUCAUCAUGCCCCUUAUGUCCAGGGCUUCACGCAUGCUACAAUGGCUGGUACAGAGAGUGGCGAGCCUGUGAGGGUGAGCGAAUCUCGGAAAGCCGGUCUCAGUUCGGAUUGGGGUCUGCAACUCGACCUCAUGAAGUCGGAGUCGCUAGUAAUCGCAGAUCAGCAACGCUGCGGUGAGUACGUUCCCGGG
RNAcentral lists this ribosomal RNA (1343 nucleotides) under uncultured bacterium. RNAcentral describes it as "16S ribosomal RNA". It matches the Rfam family "Bacterial small subunit ribosomal RNA", at positions 28 to 1378 of the family's 1533-position model. The record is from RNAcentral.